Molecule: non-coding RNA, 32 nt
Filed under: Rattus norvegicus (Norway rat)
Lineage: Eukaryota; Metazoa; Chordata; Mammalia; Rodentia; Muridae
Source: RNAcentral
UAGUGUCAGACACAACACACAGACACACACAC